GCAGCAGCAGCAGCCACGAUGAUCAUGGUCAGUGUGUCGAUCUAGCCCAGACUCUUCCUUUUGCUUUAAAGUCAUGCUGGAACGCGUCUCAGCAUUGCUCGCUUGAACGCCAACAGGUUUGGACGAGGAGAGGAGCUUAAACUUGCAGCCCGCGUGACUCGCAAUGCAGCCUUGUCUACGAAAGUAUCAUUGCAUUUCAGCUAGAGGGGGUGUCCAAGUUUGAAUCCACCACUAGCUCCUCCUACAUGCUUCGUCAAAAUAGCGAAUGGCCGAGGACUACUGACGACCUGGAUAACGAUACGCUGCUCCACACUUUCGAGCAGCGUUUGACUGCCGCGCUUGUGCCAAUCUCAUAUCAUUGUGUUGUAUCAUUCCACCGCUUGUCAUGCUUCUUCUUUGCUCUCACCUGACGCUCGAUCAAGGCUCUCACAGGCUGCAGUGAAUAACAAAGGAAUCACUGGUGCAUCAACCCUCAGGUUCUGAGUCUAAUCAGUUGCACCAAAUCAGGGAUGUGCCUCUCGUGUUUUUGGGAGUGAGUAUUUAAUUUCAUGGUCUUGAACAUGGCCAGAGGAUUUGAUCUUGCAAAGAAGAGAGAAACAAAUAAAUACCCCAACCUCCAGCACUCUUGACAUUUCCAGAUGCCUCUCAACUCUGCUCUUCAAGAGGGUGGUUGGAUCAAAUCAAACUUGCUCAUUUUCCAGAAA
Molecule: long non-coding RNA, 704 nt
Organism: Selaginella moellendorffii
Lineage: Eukaryota; Viridiplantae; Streptophyta; Lycopodiopsida; Selaginellales; Selaginellaceae
Exons: 2
Source: RefSeq, a predicted model, not a curated record